This 467-nucleotide ribosomal RNA is filed under the name uncultured bacterium. RNAcentral describes it as "partial 16S ribosomal RNA". It matches the Rfam family "Bacterial small subunit ribosomal RNA", at positions 29 to 507 of the family's 1533-position model. The record is from RNAcentral.
ACGCACGCUGGCGGCGUGCUUAACACAUGCCAGUCGCACGGAAAGGCCCUGCUUUUGUGGGGUGCUCGAGUGGCGAACGGGUGAGUAACACGUGAGUAACCUGCCCUUGACUUUGGGAUAACUUCAGGAAACUGGGGCUAAUACCGGAUAGGAGCUCCUGCUGCAUGGUGGGGGUUGGAAAGUUUCGGCGGUUGGGGAUGGACUCGCGGCUUAUCAGCUUGUUGGUGGGGUAGUGGCCUACCAAGGCUUUGACGGGUAGCCGGCCUGAGAGGGUGACCGGCCACAUUGGGACUGAGAUACGGCCCAGACUCCUACGGGAGGCAGCAGUGGGGAAUAUUGCACAAUGGGCGGAAGCCUGAUGCAGCAACGCCGCGUGCGGGAUGACGGCCUUCGGGUUGUAAACCGCUUUCGCCUGUGACGAAGCGUGAGUGACGGUAAUGGGUAAAGAAGCACCGGCUAACUACGUG